This 652-nucleotide ribosomal RNA is filed under the name uncultured Campylobacterota bacterium. RNAcentral's name for it is "bacterial SSU rRNA". It matches the Rfam family "Bacterial small subunit ribosomal RNA", at positions 830 to 1486 of the family's 1533-position model. The record is from RNAcentral. Lineage: Bacteria; Pseudomonadati; Campylobacterota.
GCUAGUCACUGCAGUAAUACAGUUUACACAUUAAAGUUACCGCCUGGGGAGUACGGUCGCAAGAUUAAAACUCAAAGGAAUAGACGGGGACCCGCACAAGCGGUGGAGCAUGUGGUUUAAUUCGAAGAUACGCGAAAAACCUUACCUGGCCUUGACAUUGAUAGAAUCCUGUAGAGAUACGGGAGUGCCGGCUUGCCGGAACUUGAAAACAGGUGCUGCACGGCUGUCGUCAGCUCGUGUCGUGAGAUGUUGGGUUAAGUCCCGCAACGAGCGCAACCCACGUCCUUAGUUGCCAGCAUUUCGGAUGGGAACUCUAAGGAGACUGCCUUCGCAAGGAGGAGGAAGGUGUGGACGACGUCAAGUCAUCAUGGCCCUUACGGCCAGGGCUACACACGUGCUACAAUGGGGCGUACAAAGAGCAGCAAUACCGCGAGGUGGAGCAAAUCUCAAAAACGCCUCCCAGUUCAGAUUGCACUCUGCAACUCGAGUGCAUGAAGUUGGAAUCGCUAGUAAUCGUAGAUCAGCAUUGCUACGGUGAUACGUUCCCGGGUCUUGUACUCACCGCCCGUCACACCAUGGGAGUUGAUUUCACCCGAAGCGGGGAUGNUAAAGUAGCUACCUUUCACGGUGGAAUCAGCGACUGGGGUGAAGU